GUUUUAAUAGUUUAACAAAAAAACGUUGGUCUUGUAAACCAAAAUUAAGGAAUACUUUUAAAACU
This 65-nucleotide transfer RNA is filed under the name Homogryllacris parcibrevipenna. RNAcentral's name for it is "tRNA-Thr". It matches the Rfam family "tRNA". Rfam says of the family: Transfer RNA (tRNA) molecules are approximately 80 nucleotides in length. Their secondary structure includes four short double-helical elements and three loops (D, anti-codon, and T loops). Lineage: Eukaryota; Metazoa; Arthropoda; Insecta; Orthoptera; Gryllacrididae. The record is from RNAcentral.